CUGGAUUUGUUCUGCUAAGGGGGCUAGAGACAAGCACCAGGAGCUCAUUCUCAAUCUGCUUUGGUGCCUGAAUGAGCUGCAGGGUCAGCAAUGCACGUGGAUGACACAGGACGUGAGGGGGUGCGUCCUUCCAAUGGCCCCUGUCCUGGUGGGAACCUCCCAUUACCACAUCAGCCCCAGCACUGCCACAACUCCACUACUCUCACCUGCUAGCACUUUGAACCGCCUUUUAGAAAAGGCCUCUUCCCAAACCUCUGUGACUUUAUUCUUUGUGACACAGAAGCACGUUAAAGCAGCGGCUGAAAUCUUCCUUUCCCAGGGGGAGCUGCUGCAUCUGUGCUGCUGUGUGGGGAGGGUGGACCAGAGGCACUCAGAGGACACGCCACUUGCCAGGACCAGCAGCACUGCAGCUUUUGUACCUGUGUCUUAAGAGGAUGUUUUUACCAGCAAGCUUUUCUGUAGAUACUUCUCUUCAUCCUCUAUAGAGGCAAAAGGAUGUUAUUCCAAAAGAGCUUAUUCCAGGAAACAUUCCCUGGAAUAGACCUGCAAGAAUAAACACCAGAACUUUAAUUGCUUUCA
This 579-nucleotide long non-coding RNA is filed under the name Anas platyrhynchos platyrhynchos (common mallard). RNAcentral's name for it is "lncRNA (ENSAPLG00000030432.1)". Lineage: Eukaryota; Metazoa; Chordata; Aves; Anseriformes; Anatidae. The record is from RNAcentral.